Molecule: unclassified non-coding RNA, 234 nt
Filed under: plant metagenome
Description: partial contains small subunit ribosomal RNA, internal transcribed spacer 1, and 5.8S ribosomal RNA
Source: RNAcentral
UCUCCGUUGGUGAACCAGCGGAGGGAUCAUUACCGAGUUCUUCUACUCCCAAACCCCUGUGAACUUAUACCUUUGCUGUUGCUUCGGCGGGUUAACGCCCCGGAAGGCCCGCGAGGGCCGCCGGAACCAGGCGCCCGCCGGGGGACCCAAACUCUUGUAUCUUUUUUAUAGCAUGUCUGAGUGGAAUCAUAAACAAAUGAAUCAAAACUUUCAACAACGGAUCUCUUGGUUCUG